This 289-nucleotide ribosomal RNA is filed under the name uncultured bacterium. RNAcentral's name for it is "partial 16S ribosomal RNA". It matches the Rfam family "Bacterial small subunit ribosomal RNA", at positions 29 to 289 of the family's 1533-position model. The record is from RNAcentral.
AUGAACGCUGGCGGCGUGGAUAAGGCAUGCAAGUCGGACGAUUUCCUUUUUGAAGAAGAUGCGAUUACAUCAAGUCAACUGAUAUUUUGGUAGAUAGUGGCGAACGAGCUAGUAACACCUUGGUACGUACCCAAAAGUUUGGUAUAGCUCGCCGAAAGGCGGGGUAAUCCCAAAUAAUCCCUCUAUCUAUCGGAUAGAAGGGUAAAGUCGCAAGACGCUUUUGGAGCGGCCUAGGACCGAUCAGUUAGUUGGUGAGGUAAUGGCUCACCAAGACGAUGACCGGUAGGGG